Molecule: ribosomal RNA, 309 nt
Filed under: Fisculla margaritae
Lineage: Eukaryota; Cercozoa; Thecofilosea; Tectofilosida
Description: partial small subunit ribosomal RNA
Rfam family: Eukaryotic small subunit ribosomal RNA (bases 128-309)
Source: RNAcentral
GAUUUCUGGUUUGAUGCCCCUGAUCCGCGUCCUUCGGGGCGUGAGUGUCGGUGUGGCGUCUGCCAUCUUUUUUUUGUAAGUUUUCGUUGGGGCCUUUCGGGGUUUCAAUGGGUGCUUGCAAAAUAUUUUUACUUUGAAAAAAUUAGAGUGUUUAAAGCAGGCAUUUGCCAUUUGAAUACAUUAGCAUGGAAUAAUAAUAUAGGACUUUGGUUCUAUUUUGUUGGUUUCUAGUACUGAAGUAAUGAUUGAUAGGGAUAGUUGGGGGUGCUAGUAUUCAGCGGCCAGAGGUGAAAUUCUUGGAUUCGCUGA